Non-coding RNA from Podarcis muralis (Common wall lizard), 311 nucleotides. Lineage: Eukaryota; Metazoa; Chordata; Lepidosauria; Squamata; Lacertidae. The record is from RefSeq and is a predicted model, not a curated record.
UCAGGAUAUAAUGGACACUCAGAUGGUCCCUAAAUCCAGAGAUCUUGUCCCUCUGCUCACAUCAACCCUUUCUGCAAGGGAAUUUGUCGUGUACCAAUACGGAAUGGUGAUCCUGAAAUUCCUCAGGCCUCAUAUUGGCGCACCAGAGAUUGAUCUGUGUGUUGCUUCCAGCAUUCCUUCCAGCAACACACCAGGAAACGCCUUCCGGAACUCUUUCCAUUAUCAGACCUCUGGCAACAAACUGUUCAUUCUAAGGGAGUGCCUGAGUUGCGUGGGCAGUUUUAUCCUGCUUCUCGUGCAUUGCCUGGCCC